RNAcentral lists this small nuclear RNA (23 nucleotides) under Arabidopsis thaliana (thale cress). RNAcentral's name for it is "snRNA_03795". Lineage: Eukaryota; Viridiplantae; Streptophyta; Magnoliopsida; Brassicales; Brassicaceae. The record is from RNAcentral.
AUUAAAUGCCUAGAGAGAAUCUG